GAGACACCCUUCUGGGGCAAGACUUCAGUGGGGCUUUGGUGCUCACUGAGUCUUCCCCCUGAGCGUGUCCCU
RNAcentral lists this microRNA precursor (72 nucleotides) under Myotis lucifugus (little brown bat). Its description in RNAcentral is "mir-9229 microRNA precursor family". It matches the Rfam family "mir-9229 microRNA precursor family". The record is from Rfam by way of RNAcentral. Lineage: Eukaryota; Metazoa; Chordata; Mammalia; Chiroptera; Vespertilionidae.